RNAcentral lists this ribosomal RNA (252 nucleotides) under uncultured bacterium. RNAcentral's name for it is "partial 16S ribosomal RNA". It matches the Rfam family "Bacterial small subunit ribosomal RNA", at positions 524 to 776 of the family's 1533-position model. The record is from RNAcentral.
UACGAGAGGGGCGAGCGUUAUCCGGAAUUAUUGGGCGUAAAGGGUUCGUAGGUGGUAUUUGUUGUUAUAGGUAAAAUUUUAAAGUAAUAUUUAAAUCGCCUAUAAUACUCUUUUACUUGAGUAUAGAAGAGGAUAACAGAAUUUCAUAUUUAGGGGUAAAAUCCUUUGAUUUAUGAAGGAAUGUCAAUGGCGAAGGCAGUUAUCUGGUCUAUUAACUGACGCUGAGGAACGAAAGCGUAGGGAGCAAACAGG